ACAUGAGAAGGGAGGUGAUCCGAGCAGUGAAGACUCUUCGGACCCAUGAGGUGGUCGCGCGCUAGGUCGCGCGUCUGAGCCAGCUUCGCGCCGUCAGGCGCGCGGACCGGUUGCGAUUCCCACGCGACCACCGGAGCCCGCGGGUGCCGUGCCCUCGUCCAGCACGGCAGCAGGAGUCACCCUGCAGCCCGCGGGCUCUUUCGU
This 204-nucleotide small RNA is filed under the name Isoptericola variabilis 225. Its description in RNAcentral is "Actinobacteria sRNA Ms_IGR-5". It matches the Rfam family "Actinobacteria sRNA Ms_IGR-5". The record is from Rfam by way of RNAcentral. Lineage: Bacteria; Bacillati; Actinomycetota; Actinomycetes; Micrococcales; Promicromonosporaceae.